This is a long non-coding RNA of Motacilla alba alba, 474 nucleotides long. RefSeq lists it as uncharacterized. The record is from RefSeq and is a predicted model, not a curated record. Lineage: Eukaryota; Metazoa; Chordata; Aves; Passeriformes; Motacillidae. The transcript is spliced from 3 exons.
UGUAAAUGCCAGUUUUAUCUAUAGAUACAUGAAGUCACAGGGCUCAUCUUAAUCAUAAACCCCAUCCCUUGAUAUCAUAGAGGUUUUCUUUUCUCUGUUUUUUUUUUUUUUUUUGUAUGUUUGGCAAUCUUAUUUGUAAUUAGACAUUUUAGUUAGUAGGACACAGUGCCACAUGAAGUGGAACCUUCUGAAAUGCAGGACAAUUAAUGGAGACAAAUAGAAGUAGAAGGAUCCGAAGAUCCAGAAGCAUCUGAAGACAAAGUGCUUUAAUGGAUAUAUAUCAGAUAAACAACAUUGUGCAGUUUACCCAUAUGCAAGAACACUUGUAAAAUGGAGUGAUUAAUGGAGGGGUCAUCAUUGACAUCGAAGUGUAGGGGAAUGAAUUCUGUAUCAUUAUGUUCCUGUGAGGAAUAUGAAGAUAAGGUGUGUAAUCCACCUCUGCUGCUUGAAAAUAAGAUGCUCCUCAUCUCUGGG